This 126-nucleotide small nucleolar RNA is filed under the name Carlito syrichta (Philippine tarsier). Its description in RNAcentral is "Small nucleolar RNA SNORA71 (ENSTSYG00000024439.2)". The record is from RNAcentral. Lineage: Eukaryota; Metazoa; Chordata; Mammalia; Primates; Tarsiidae.
UCAUGCUCCACUGACAUCAGUUGCCUGCAUCUUGAUCACUGAUAGUGCAAGGAGAGGAACUGCCAAAAGCAUUUUCUGUGUUUGGAGGAUCUAUCCUCAUUCUGGGGAACCGUGGUGAUUUUCACA